Molecule: ribosomal RNA, 468 nt
Filed under: uncultured bacterium
Lineage: Bacteria
Description: partial 16S ribosomal RNA
Rfam family: Bacterial small subunit ribosomal RNA
Source: RNAcentral
GACGAACGCUGGCGGCGUGCUUAACACAUGCAAGUCAAACGGAAAGGCCCUGCUUUUGUGGGGUGCUCGAGUGGCGAACGGGUGAGUAACACGUGAGUAACCUGCCCUUGACUUUGGGAUAACUUCAGGAAACUGGGGCUAAUACCGGAUAGGAGCUCCUGCUGCAUGGUGGGGGUUGGAAAGUUUCGGCGGUUGGGGAUGGACUCGCGGCUUAUCAGCUUGUUGGUGGGGUAGUGGCUUACCAAGGCUGUGACGGGUAGCCGGCCUGAGAGGGUGACCGGCCACAUUGGGACUGAGAUACGGCCCAGACUCCUACGGGAGGCAGCAGUGGGGAACAUUGCACAAUGGGCGGAAGCCUGAUGCAGCAACGCCGCGUGCGGGAUGACGGCCUUCGGGUUGUAAACCGCUUUCGCCUGUGACGAAGCGUGAGUGACGGUAAUGGGUAAAGAAGCACCGGCUAACUACGUG